AUGCUUUGCUCACAAGAUACAUGUAACCAAAUAUCAGUAGAAGGAAAGCACUUUGAAGUUGUCAGUAGGAACUGGAGGCUAAUAAUGAAGGAGUCAGUGAAGGAGGCCAAUGGCAUGAGGGUUAUCUCACAGCCCCAGAUGCUGGAUAAGUUGAAGGAGGCAGAAUCGCUUUUGGAUGACAUUCAGAAAGGCCUGAAUGAUUAUUUGGAGAAGAAAAGACUAUUCUUUCUAAGGUUUUUUUCUUUCUGUGCAAUGAUGAGCUCUUAGAAAUCCUUUCUGAGACAAAGGAUCCACUCCGAGACCAACCACACCUGAAGAAAUGCUUUGAAGGAAUUGCCAAGCUCACUUUUAAUCAUGAGAAAGAAAUUACUCACAUGGAGUCAGCAGAAAAUGAAAAAGUAGAGCUCGUGCUGCGAAUAAUUCCAGCAAGUGCCAAGGGGCUAGUUGAGAAAUGGCUUCAUGAGGUGAAUAUCUUUAGAUCUUACUUAGGGUUUAGUUACUGUAUAAUCAUUUUCUCUUUUAGGAGCAAGGAAUAUCAUAAGCAUAUUUCCUAAGUAAAUAGCUCUCUGAGAAUUUAUCAGAUUAUUUGACAGAUUGAAUAUCAGCCUCAUUGUUGUUAUUUAUUACAACUAAUUGACACGUGCAAUCAUGCACAAAUUAAUUUUAAUAAAGAGGUUAUCAGUGUGUGAGACA
Molecule: long non-coding RNA, 693 nt
Filed under: Chrysemys picta bellii (western painted turtle)
Lineage: Eukaryota; Metazoa; Chordata; Testudines; Emydidae
Description: lncRNA (ENSCPBG00000002341.1)
Rfam family: Rhabdomyosarcoma 2 associated transcript conserved region 9 (bases 273-465)
Source: RNAcentral